Molecule: long non-coding RNA, 389 nt
Filed under: Mytilus galloprovincialis (Mediterranean mussel)
Lineage: Eukaryota; Metazoa; Mollusca; Bivalvia; Mytilida; Mytilidae
Source: RNAcentral
UAAUAUGAAAACAUAUACUAAUCAGUUGAAAAUGACUGAAUUUAUUUUAGAACUAUACGAAGCAGAAAAACAGCUAGCGAAAUCAGCCAUGGUAGGGAAUAUAUACAGACAAUAAAAUAAUUUAAAAAAAAACCAAUAAACACAGUAAAUAUCUUAGAGAACUCACAGUUACUGGUAGUUGAAUAAGAAGUAUUUAUUAUUAAGUGGGAUUGCAUUGUCGGUGUUAAUUCGUAAUUUUUUUUAAAUGAAAAUGCCUUGAUGUGAUGAGGGUACAAAACAUUUCUUCUGGUAUUUUCAAUUUUACAAAAAUAUAUACCUCACUAUAAAAACAUAUAAACAGGAUAAAAUCAAAUUGAAAUAUCUCAAAAAAUAACAUCAGCUAGGAGGCA